UUUAAAUUCAUAUGAAAAAAGAAGGGGGCCCGAGGUUCGAGAACAAGCUCUGUGUGAAGACAUGCUCGGCCUCCUGAGGACUGCAGACCUGCAAACUGAGACCCCAGGAGCACAUGGCCUGCUCAGAGCUUGGCUGGGCCUGGGCAUGUGGAGGACUGGGAGGAACAAGAAGUGGCAGUCUCCGCCCAGCAGCUCCACUGCUGAAUCCCCUGCCUGACUCCAACCUUUACCCCUCGCAACUUGAAAAAUGAUCAGAGACACCAAAGGACUUUGCCUGGGGGUUCCAACUACCAAGGUGGAUGCCUGUUAGUAGACUUUAUUAGAAAUUAGACUGGAUAUUUGAAAGACAUUUAUUCAUUUCAAGAUAACAAUGAACCAUGAUGUUACACUGGUAACAAUUCUGUGAAAAAUAUAUUUUCCCAAAUAAGAAGGUUUUGGUGAGAAGAGAGAGUGGCACUGCUCUUCAGGGAAGCCACCUGGGCCACCUGCACCACCUGCUGUGGGCACUGUUGGGCUGAGUCUGGAGUGACUCGGAAACCAGUGUCUGGGGAAAGAACCAGAGAAGACAGAACUGGGCGCAGAGGCUGAGGCGGAACUCAGGAGUGUGGUUCUUCACAUGCAGGCAAGGCCUCUGCAGCCACCACCACCACCUGCCUUCUGCGUCCUUGUGAUCUGCCUGUUACCCGCCCUUCAGUGACUGCCACUGUGGCUUUGUGACUCACUGCGACGGGCAUCUUCCUGGCACCAACACAAUUCACCCAGCAGCAUCAAUCACGUUUGCUGAUGUCACCAUGGGUCCCCGCAGAGAAGCCUGCAAGUAGGGAAGUUCCAAGCUCCUGGUGGGGACAAGUUUUUCAGGAUUCUGAUUUUUGCAUGAAAGUUUAGAUUUCGUCACUGGUAAAUGCUGCCAGUUGUCUCCCUUGGGGGACAGGCCCAUUUUCAAGACGGUAUCUGCCAGAUGCCCAUGGCAGAAUACCCAGUCUGCCACUUGCGUCUGUGGGAUCCCAUUGUGUCUGUGGGACCUGCUCCUGGCAGGCAGCCCCCACUGCUACGCACACGCUCACCUCCACCCACUCUCACUGGCUCUUCACGACACUUUCUGCUUGGUCACACAGAACCUCAAAGGCCAAGACCUAGUGCUGCCUUCUCCAGGACAUUCUUAAGAGAAACUGGCAUGUGCCGCUGUAGGGCGGGGGGGG
This 1199-nucleotide long non-coding RNA is filed under the name Marmota monax (woodchuck). Lineage: Eukaryota; Metazoa; Chordata; Mammalia; Rodentia; Sciuridae. The record is from RNAcentral.